UUGGUAAUUCGGUUGUGAAAUGACUAUUAAUUACAAGCACAGCAUCAUCAACGGUGAUUGCAAGAACUACUGCAAUCCCUGCGGUUUUUCCUCUUGGUAAAUGCGUUCUGGUCGUGACCAAGGGUGGUCUCCCAAAUCGGCCGGGAAUAAGGCUAUUGUUGCAGAACAAAACGCUGCAACCACUGCUGUGGUAAAUAUGUUCCAGCAGAACUGCCCACCGCCGUCGGUGUAAUGAUUUCGAUAGCUGAACAAAUGCCAUCUCCUGGGCAUUCCCACAGCUUGCCGACACUAGCUAUUAUAUCACGUGUGAAUGCAACUGCGGCUAAAUUUGGUUAUUAACAGUGCAAUAGUACCAUGUCAUUGGCAAAAACACUAAGGGCUGCUGGCACCAGUGUUGCCAGCUUUUGAAUUUCAAAAAGCCCCAAACCUUGGAAAAACGAGCGUUUUACCGUACUAAAAGAACUAAAUUUUUUUUUAAUCAAAGGAUACUCUUUUUUC
Rhagoletis zephyria (snowberry fruit fly) is the source of this 498-nucleotide long non-coding RNA. RefSeq lists it as uncharacterized. The record is from RefSeq and is a predicted model, not a curated record. Lineage: Eukaryota; Metazoa; Arthropoda; Insecta; Diptera; Tephritidae.